AUUGCUUCUUGGCCUUUGGGCUAAGAUCAAGUGUAGUAUUUGUUCUUAUUGGAAAGUAUUGACCAUCCUCACUGAACAUCAUUUGCUUGCAUCCUCU
This 97-nucleotide small nuclear RNA is filed under the name Suricata suricatta (meerkat). Its description in RNAcentral is "U2 spliceosomal RNA (ENSSSUG00005009624.1)". It matches the Rfam family "U2 spliceosomal RNA". From Rfam's summary of the family: U2 is a small nuclear RNA (snRNA) component of the spliceosome (involved in pre-mRNA splicing). The record is from RNAcentral. Lineage: Eukaryota; Metazoa; Chordata; Mammalia; Carnivora; Herpestidae.